GACGAACGCUGGCGGCGUGCUUAACACAUGCAAGUCGAACGGAAAGGCCCUGCUUUUGUUGGGUGCUCGAGUGGCGAACGGGUGAGUAACACGUGAGUAACCUGCCCUUGACUUUGGGAUAACUUCAGGAAACUGGGGCUAAUACCGGAUAGGAGCUCCUGCUGCAUGGUGGGGGUUGGAAAGUUUCGGCGGUUGGGGAUGGACUCGCGGCUUAUCAGCUUGUUGGUGGGGUAGUGGCUUACCAAGGCUUUGACGGGUAGCCGGCCUGAGAGGGUGACCGGCCACAUUGGGACUGAGAUACGGCCCAGAAUGCUACGGGAGGCAGCAGUGGGGAAUAUUGCACAAUGGGCGGAAGCCUGAGGCAGCAACGCCGCGUGCGGGAUGACGGCCUUCGGGUUGUAAACCGCUUUCGCCUGUGACGAAGAGUGAGUGACGGUAAUGGGUAAAGAAGCAACGGCUAACUACGUG
RNAcentral lists this ribosomal RNA (468 nucleotides) under uncultured bacterium. Its description in RNAcentral is "partial 16S ribosomal RNA". It matches the Rfam family "Bacterial small subunit ribosomal RNA", at positions 28 to 507 of the family's 1533-position model. The record is from RNAcentral.